UCUGUGAUGCCCUUAGAUGUUCUGGGCUGCACGCGCGCUACACUGACAAAGUCAGCGAGUAUCAACCUUGACCGAAAGGUCUGGGUAAUCUUGUGAAACUUUGUCGUGCUGGGGAUAGAUCAUUGCAAUUAUUGAUCUUGAACGAGGAAUUCCUAGUAAGCGCAUGUCAUCAGCAUGCGUUGAUUACGUCCCUGCCCUUUGUACACACCGC
RNAcentral lists this ribosomal RNA (211 nucleotides) under uncultured fungus. RNAcentral describes it as "partial 18S ribosomal RNA". It matches the Rfam family "Eukaryotic small subunit ribosomal RNA", at positions 1461 to 1672 of the family's 1831-position model. Lineage: Eukaryota; Fungi. The record is from RNAcentral.